UUUAAUACUCAGUGUAUACAUUUUGCAGAUUAAAUUUAAAUACGUAUUUUGGACCAGUUAUUUGAUAAAAUUUCUUCAGACGUUGUUUUUCAAACCAUCAUCAUAAAUUUAACAUAUCUGAUUUUCGUAAGUACUUCAAACCCCUAGCAAGGGAAAACUGUAAAUCUAAUGAAUAAGAUCUUCUCAGGCAAUUAGACAAUAUUUACAAACAGGCUGCUUGACUCAAAGGUGACUUCCUUAAAUCCGAGUUUCUCAGCCCCAGCACUGUGGAUGUUUUGAGCGGGUAAUUCUUUGUUAUGGAGGCUGUCCUACAACAGGGUCUUAAGAGGCCAGCAGCACCUCCCAGUUGUGACAAUAAAAAUUAUCUCCCCACAGUACCAAGGUUACCCCUGACUGGGAACCAUUGCCUUAAGUAUUUAAACACUGAUGAAAAGCUUAAUCUUUUUAAAACUUUAAAAUUCUUAAGCAUUUUGAUAAGCUCACAAAUUUAUACUUCAGAUGCUCAUAAACUUCAGAUGCCUUUAAAAAUUAAAAUAUCAAAACUCUUACAAAGCUCAUUGCUUCAAGUCCAGUUGACCGAUUACCAAAUCAGCCAGAGAAUUUUCUUCUCUGGCUGUCUACACCCCUGUCUCCCUUCCGGGACUUUCUGACCCUGCUAAGGGGAUGUGCUCACCCAACUAGAAGCUGUGGAAUUACCUCUCAGGCUGCCUGAGGUCACGCACUCAUGGUUUCUGGUCAGAGUCUCAGGUCAGAGGACAAGAACUGAGGGUUGAGGUCAGAGAUUUGGGACCAGCAGGGGCUCCGGGGCGCCGCUUGCGGGGUGGUGAGCCCCGUAUUGGCUCCAUGACUCCUUCAUGGGGCCUCCCAGCCCACGCCCUUCGCUGGGCCUCGCAAACCUCCCGGGAUCCGGUGAGUCCAGCUUCCUUUGUAGCCUUGUCGCUUUAGAAAUGUUAUUACUCAUUUUGACCUGACAGAGUUUACCGCCUUCUGAGCCAGCCUUUCACGCGAUUGGCCAGGUAGGGCCCUGAACGCCUGUGUGGGUGGAUCAGUGCACACACGCGCGGUAGACGUGAUCUGGGGCUCGCAGGGCCUCCUGGUCCUGCUGCACACGGCUGGCCGACCCUUCCUCUCAGCGUUCCCCUCUCAGACUCCAUAGAUAAUGAUGCUUAUUUUUAACAGCGACGUUAUUAUUUGUGGUUGAAGUUUUACAGCAGAGCAAUUUCUGAUCUCAGCUCUAAAGAGAACAUCUACCUCUGUGGGUUAUUUUCCACCGGUAUGUUUGGAAUUUGCUUGUGCUGUAAUUUGGCAACUCCUGAAACUUUAGCCUAAAAAAUUUUGUGUGAGGUUUUGAAACGAUACUUAGAAACCUGAGAAAAAUAUAAAACACUCUCAGAUCCACACAUCAAGCAUGAGGCCUUUUCCUAAAGUACUCAGUGUUUGUUGAGGGAGUGAAUGGAGGCCCCCAAGCCUUCAUUAAUUCUGAUGCGGACCCCUGAGCUCUCCUUGUCCUCUGGGCUCGCGACUCCCUCCUUCUUCUGAGGCAAAUGGGGAGGUUUGAGCACAAACACUCACUGGAAUUAAGCCUGGUUUGUAGGACUCGCGGGGGAGGGAGGGGAACACCAGCUACAGAGUCAGGGACCCUGUCUGGGGCUCCCAAGGCUCACAGCAGGUGUUCAGCAGCAGGUGACGCUCACACCUGCCUCUGGUUGGGCCUGUUUAACUGCUCACACCUGCCUCUGGUUGGGCCUGUUUAACUGCUCACACCUGCCUCUGGUUGGCGGCCUAUUUAACUCCUCACCUGCCCGUCUUCUACUCUGAUCACAAAGAUCCCUCGUCCCCGCCCCCCACAACCCCCUACAACCUCCUCUGUUUUGCAUGCGAGGUCCCUCACAGCGUAGGCUCAGGCCCUAGGAAGAGUGGAGGAGCUGCUGGAGCAGCAGAUGCGGCGAGGACUGCUGGACCUGGGGAUCCUGCUACCUGGCCUGUUGCCGUCUGUGGCCCACCAGCCCCAUUAGGGCAGCAACAACGCCCAGAGGAGCCUCUCGCUUAACCAGGUUCAAGGAGCAGCUGAACCUCGGCCCACAUCUCAGGGAAUCAGCAGUGAGUCCAGAUCUCACCGCACCUUCCCGGAAGUCACUUGGUCCCUGGAGAUUCAAAACCGUGUGAGGCACAAACAGCAGCGAUGGUCUCUGGUCUCCACCGACUUGGCCGAACUUCCAACUUCUUCUGAAUAAACCUUGGGACUUAAGGAGAACCUGCAACAAAUCCAGCUGAAUCUCUGCACUCCCAUAAAGAGACCUGGCAGUCUCUCUCAGAACAUGUCCCUUGGGAGCUCCAAGUCAACCUGCAACAAAUCCAGAAGCUUCCUUGCCUGAGAGACCACAUGGAAAGGUGAACUCACCAUCUUUGGAGUCACCUGAUGUCUAUAGCUCUUGUUGGGUAAGGGUGAAGAUUGCACUGUGAGAGCCUCAACAAUGAACACUAAUAUGAUUUGGGAACAAGAUAUACAAGAAGAGAUAGACUAUGAACCACCUUCAGAUACAGAAUAAGAACAAAAAAAGAGAAAACAAAAUACAGGUUUCUGAAUCUGUCAUGAGGCAUAACAAGACCUAGGCCAUCUGGUGACCAAAGAAUUAAAGACUGAGGGUCCUCAAAAACUCUAUUGAAAAAGAAGAACAAAAUUAGAGGACUCACAUGUGCUGAUUUCAACUUACUACAAAGCUACAGUACUAAGUACUUGUAUUGGCACAAAGAUAGACAUAGAUGAAUAGAAUAGAACUGUGAUUCCAGAAAUAUAUCCUUUGUUCAAUUGGUCUUUGAUACACCAAGAUAAUUCAGUAGGGAAAAGAACAGUCUUUCAAUAAAUGGUGCUGGGGACAACUGGACAUCCACAUGCCAAAGUAUGAAGCUGGAUGCUUACCUAACGCUAUGCACAAACAUUAACUCAAAAUUAAUUAACAUUCUAAUGUGACAGCUAAAACCAUAAAGCCCUUGAGGGAAACAUAGCAAUAACUAUUCAAGACCUUAGAUUAGGCAAUGCAUUCUUAAACACCAAAAGAAAAAAUAUAGGUAAAUUGGAUUUCACCAAAAUGAAAAACUUUU
Molecule: long non-coding RNA, 3102 nt
Filed under: Homo sapiens (human)
Lineage: Eukaryota; Metazoa; Chordata; Mammalia; Primates; Hominidae
Description: HSALNT0338720
Source: RNAcentral